Molecule: transfer RNA, 62 nt
Filed under: Nilaparvata lugens (brown planthopper)
Lineage: Eukaryota; Metazoa; Arthropoda; Insecta; Hemiptera; Delphacidae
Also listed under: 1 other name
Description: tRNA-Gly
Source: RNAcentral
UUUUCUUUAGUAUAAAAAGUAUAAUUAAUUUCCAAUUAAAAGGUUUAAUUUUUAAAGAAAAA